RNAcentral lists this ribosomal RNA (1429 nucleotides) under metagenome. RNAcentral describes it as "bacterial SSU rRNA". It matches the Rfam family "Bacterial small subunit ribosomal RNA". The record is from RNAcentral.
AGAGUGAACGCUGGCGGCGUGCUUAACACAUGCAAGUCGAACGAAGAAUAGCAAUAUUCUUAGUGGCAAACGGGUGAGUAAUGUAUGGGAAUCUGCCUUAUAGUGGGGGACAACAGUUGGAAACGACUGCUAAUACCGCAUAAUACCGUUUACGGGAAAGCAGCAAUGCGCUAUUUGAUGAGCCCAUAUCUGAUUAGUUUGUUGGUGGGGUAAUGGCCUACCAAGACUACGAUCAGUAGCUGGUCUGAGAGGACGAUCGGCCACACUGGAACUGAGACACGGUCCAGACUCCUACGGGAGGCAGCAGUGGGGAAUAUUGGGCAAUGGACGAAAGUCUGACCCAGCAACGCCGCGUGGUGGAUGAAGGCCUUAGGGUUGUAAACACCUUUUAUUAGGGAAGAUAGUGACGGUACCUAAUGAAUAAGCAUCGGCUAACUUCGUGCCAGCAGCCGCGGUAAUACGAAGGAUGCUAGCGUUACUCGGAAUUACUGGGCGUAAAGAAUGCGUAGGCGGAUUAUUAAGUUGAUAGUGAAAUCCCCGAGCCUAACUCGGGAACUGCUAUCAAAACUGAUAAUCUAGAAUAUGGUAGAGAGUAAGGGAAUUCUUGGUGUAGGGGUAAAAUCCGUAGAUAUCAGGAGGAAGACCGGAAGCGAAAGCGCUUACUUGGGCCAUUAUUGACGCUGAGGCAUGAGAGCGUGGGGAUCGAACAGGAUUAGAUACCCUGGUAGUCCACGCUGUAAACGAUGAGUGCUAAUUCUGGGGAUUUCGGUCUCUGGGGUAAAGCUAACGCGUUAAGCACUCCGCCUGGGUAGUACGAUCGCAAGAUUAAAACUCAAAGGAAUUGACGGGGGCCCGUACAAGCGGUGGAGCAUGUGGUUUAAUUCGAUGAUAACCGAAGAACCUUACCAGCCCUUGACAUGUAUAUCGAGAUUUCACGAAAGUGGGUCGUCAUUUAGUUGGAUAUACACAGGUGUUGCAUGGCUGUCGUCAGCUCGUGUCGUGAGAUGUUGGGUUAAGUCCCUUAACGAGCGCAACCCUUGCCAUUAUUUGCCAGCGAGUUAUGUCGGGGACUAUAGUGGGACUGCUAUCGAAAGGUAGAGGAAGGAGAGGAUGAUGUCAAGUCAUCAUGGCCCUUAUGGGCUGGGCUACACACGUGCUACAAUGGACGGUACAAUGUGUUGCAAUGCAGUAAUGCGGAGCUAAUCAUAAAAACCGUUCUCAGUUCGGAUCGAGGCUUGCAACUCAGCCUCGUGAAGCUGGAAUCGCUAGUAAUCGUGAAUCAGAAUGUCACGGUGAAUACGUUCCCGGGCCUUGUACACACUGCCCGUCAAGCCAUGAGAGCUGUUCUUACCUCAAGUAUGUGAGCUAACCGCAAGGAGGCAGCAUCCUAGGGUAAUAUCAGUGAUUGGGGUUAAGUCGUAACAAGGUA